GGAGAAGUAAGAUAAAAAUAAGAGUCUUUUAUUGGAGCAAAUGCUUCAUGUGUACGCAUCCAUACCUGCUAAAAUUCAAAGAUCCAAUCGAACAUGGUGGGGCUGAAAGAUCAUGAUUUUUCCAGCUCAAAAGUUGACAAUAACAACCUUUUUCUUGAAAAUUAGUAUGGUAGUACCCCACCAAGGCCUAAAUGAUAACUAAUUAAUGAUCUCUGCCUCCCCGCAAUCGUUUGAUAGGGAAAAUUGUGUCAAAAAACAGCUUCACCAGUGCAAUUACUAAGGAAAAUGGUAAAUAGUGAUGCUCAUUUAUAAUGGGCAAGGUCCAUAACGUGCUUCAAAUUUUCCAAUGAACUCUUCAAACUAAGCUCCUUAAAAGCACGAAAAAAGCGUACUCUACGUAAAUCAAGCCUAUUCAACUUGAACUUCCUCAAUAAGGAGCAUGAUCCAAUUGCCAUACAGGUUAACAAGUGAACUUGGCUUCACUUUAUACGUCGGCUCAGCUUCUUCUUCGAGUGGGAUAAUUGUUACGCCUUGGCCGAAUGUUUUUGCUUUCAUUUCUACUCUCUUCUUGACUGCUGCUUCCACAGAUUCAUAUGUCAGCAUCUCCAUGAGUUUUCUACCAUCCACAAGAACUACAACACAAAAAGGAUGACAAUGAAGGUUUAUCAUCAAAUCAGAAAAUUAUAUAGCCCAGAUCAAUAAGGUUGAACUGGGAAACAACUUGCUUUCAAAUAGCAGCCUCAUACUCAGCCAGGGAUUCUAGGAAUUUAGCCUCAGCCACAAAUUUUCUGUAGUCGAUUCUCCUUGACAGUGCCUGCAAUAAGAAUCAAAGGAGAGAAACAAAUGCAGGGUUUUAGGGCUAACAAGUCUUGUUCAAAACAAGGGCAAUAAAGAAUAUCUUGAUGCUCAAUAUUUGGAUCAUUGACAAUUAAUUCCAUCGUAGCAAAGCAGCAGCUUAAGUACCUGGGCUGAAGAGGUUAGCUUAGCAAACCAUACUCAUAGUUCAUGGCAUACCAAUCCAUGCCAGCGUUCAGAGCAAAGACUUGGCCCUUAAAGAAAUGCAAUCAGCAUAUUUAAUUGAAUGGAAUAGAAGGAAUGGACAAGUCUCACUAGAUCUAAAGUAAAACUCCUUUAUCUUUUAAAAUAAAUUUGCAACAAGUAGAUAAUCAGUAGAUAUCAAUUUGAUCACAAAAAUAGUUUUGAACCAGCAUUAAACAGCAGCAAGUGAUAAAGAAGUAUUAAAUUUAAGCCAACUAAUGUAACUACUCACCGAAAUAGGUCAGAGGUGAUAUUAAGUUGAAAAUUUGCAGAUUACAGUACUCUCUUGAGAUUUAAUUCUUUCCAAUAGCAAGCAUAUGCAUGGGAAUUUAUUAACUUGCAGUUGUAAAAUGUUUGCCAUCAGAUAUAAUUAAGUCUAAUGGAAUUUGUUCUAACUGUUUAGUUGGGAUUGCUGCCUAAGAUCCUCACCUGCUGGCACUGCAAGAAUGGGAGCAUUGGUUUGGCAAGUAUUCUAGAAUAUAUGGAUGCUCAUCUGGACUUUUGCACGGGCCCAUCUAAUUUGAAUAGAUAGAUUGAUCAGAUGAUUUUUAAAAUUCAUAAUUGUGGCAGUCUGCCCAAUAUUUUUCCUAGUUACCUGAGCAUGGAGCUUCUCAGUUUCUCUAACAAUAUAUUCAACCAUUGACCCAUGACACCUUUCAUGGAAAAUGCAUCAGGGUCAUAUGUGUCAGCAUGAUAGUCAUACUGAGCCCUCAACAAAAGGCUAAAUAUUAUGCUAUCCACUUGUUGGAUUAAUGACUGCCUUAUAUUUUCUAGACUCAAGCUCUGGAUCUCAUCCACCCCACCCUUUGCAUAUCUACAUGAAAAAGAAGCAAAAUGCUAUAAGAUGGCCAAAAAACUCAUGAAAUCCAUACAUCUGAACAUAAAAAGGGUUUCUGGGAAAUUAUGAACCAAGUGUGAAAUGGGUCUAACAUAAAUUGCAAUAUUGGGUCUUGCAAUAAAAGCAUAAGCAAUACACAAUAUCUUUGCCUUCAUUGAUGAUGAAUGAGAAGAGAGAAGAGAGCAACAGUAAAAGGCAGCACAAACGUAAGAAAUGUAAAGGAGAAAAAAAGAGAUACAAAAGUUGCAUUUGUUACACAAAAGGAAGCUUAAUAAAUUGUUUCCAAAAUGGAAAAUGAGCCCUGAGCUUACAUAAAAUGCAGCAAUUUGCCACCAUUUCUAUUUCAUAUUUCCAAGAUCAAGGCUUUCCUGCAUAAACAUAUUUUUAUGUCUCAAACUAGAAAUUUCACCGGCAACUUUUUUGUGCUUUCAUGUUUAUAAGUAACCAUCAACUAAUUAGGAGACGAACAUAUUCAAGAUUUUUGUGUAUUCUUUCAAAUGAAUGACAAAUGAUACUUUGUACAUGUUUGAUAUUUAGAAAAGAUGUCCUAAUUGUCAAACAGAACAUUUGGCUAUCCUGUUGUUUCCAAUACCUCUUGAAUAUGCUUAGACAAGUACCAAACAUAUCACAAUGUCAUCAUAUUCAUAGCCAACUUGUCCUGUGCAUAAGAGAACAAUUUGUAUAUAGAUUUUAAGGAAUGAUUCAUGAGACAACUUGACCCAUAGAUGAAUGUGCAAUUAAAUUACCGUCAUUUACAACUAAAAACAUUUAAUAACUGCACAAAAAAAGGAUGAAAAAAAUUGUUGACUUAUAGAUAUAUCCUUGCCAUAUUAUAUAAUUUACAAAUUCAUAAACCACAGCUUCCUCAAAAAAUUGUCUACUGCACUGUUAGUUCCAAUUGUUUAGAUGUUUAUAUCCAUCCACUGCUAAUAACACCGCCAUGCAAUGUACAGAGGAGGGUUCUGAAAAUGAACACAUUUGAAAUCCAUUUAGCAUAUCAAGAGAAAAAUCAAUGAAGAGAAAUAAACAAUGAAGACUUUCUCUCGUUAAUAUUCAAAAUUGAAAAAGAAAAGUCACAACAAUCACAUAAUUUCAUACCAUUUACACAGGGUCAAUUAAUUUUUACCAUUCAGAAACUGACUAUAUAAUAAAUUCGGGAUGAUCAAUUGAUCAUGAACAUGGAAGAUACACAUAGAGACUAUAACAACAAAAGCAUGUUAAAACCGUAAAUGAGAGGGGCAAGAAGCUGGAAAAAGGCAAUAACAGCUGGCUCCAGAAUUCGAUUUGUGAUGAUGGUGGACCAAAUGUGAAGCAGAUUUUGAAGAAUUUGCAGUCUGGUUCCUCAAAUGGAAAAACAUUAUUCAAAAGAUCUGCCUCCAUUGAUGAUCGACACGGGCUCUGGAAGAGGGAAAGAGUUCAAGGAGCCCAGAGAAAGCAGAAGACUGACCAGAGUUUUUCCGCUCUCUGGUCGUCCGCCG
Molecule: unclassified non-coding RNA, 3354 nt
Filed under: Hevea brasiliensis (rubber tree)
Lineage: Eukaryota; Viridiplantae; Streptophyta; Magnoliopsida; Malpighiales; Euphorbiaceae
Source: RNAcentral